CCUGGGAACUCCAGAGCCAGAGUUCUUUCCACUGUACCACUUGGGAAGGAUAAGUAUUCGAUGGAGAAAGACUUGUUAAUUCUUUUGGGAUCAGAUCUGUGAUUUCACCAGUAUCAUAGAACUCCAGGAUGAAGAGAUACUUUCUACUGAGGCAAGUCACCACGCACCCUGAAACUUAGAGUCUCAGAGAGUGCCAGAGGUCAUGGAGAAGUGAACUGACUUGCCCAGAAUCACAUAGUGGGAGCAGAGACAGCCAGGAAGGGCACCGAGGAGAUGAAAUCCAGAAUCUGGUAGCAAAGAGAAACUUGGCCACAACCAUGAGACCAGCAGAAAUGUUGCCUAACCAUUUUCAGGAAAUCUACUUUGAGGGGAGUUUUCUUUGAGUCUAUGUUGGGAAGUUACUACUUUUA
Long non-coding RNA from Vombatus ursinus (common wombat), 410 nucleotides. RefSeq lists it as uncharacterized. The transcript is spliced from 3 exons. Lineage: Eukaryota; Metazoa; Chordata; Mammalia; Diprotodontia; Vombatidae. The record is from RefSeq and is a predicted model, not a curated record.